Molecule: ribosomal RNA, 459 nt
Filed under: uncultured bacterium
Lineage: Bacteria
Description: partial 16S ribosomal RNA
Rfam family: Bacterial small subunit ribosomal RNA
Source: RNAcentral
CCUACGGGAGGCAGCAGUGAGGAAUAUUGGUCAAUGGUCGGGAGACUGAACCAGCCAAGCCGCGUGAGGGAUGAAGGUCCAGAGUAUCGUAAACCUCUUUUGUCAGGGAACAAACGCGGAGUCGCGUCCCCGGAUGCGUGUACCUGAAGAAAAAGCAUCGGCUAACUCCGUGCCAGCAGCCGCGCUAAUCAGGAGGAUGCGUGAGUUAUCCUGAUUUGUUGGGUUGCAAGUUUGGGAAGCGGGUAUGAUAAGUCAGCGGGAAAAGCCCGGCGCGAAACCCCGGCCCGCCGUUGAAACUGGAAGGCUCGAGUUGGAGAGAGGGAUGCGGAAUGCGCGGUGUAGCGGUGAAAUGCAUAGAUAUCGCGAAGAACGCCGAUUGCGAAGGCAGCAUGCCGGAUCCACACUGACGCUGAGGCACGAAAGCGUGGGUAUCGAACAGGAUUAGAUACCCUUGUAGUC